This 164-nucleotide ribosomal RNA is filed under the name Pilumnus tomentosus. RNAcentral's name for it is "partial 16S rRNA". Lineage: Eukaryota; Metazoa; Arthropoda; Malacostraca; Decapoda; Pilumnidae. The record is from RNAcentral.
ACUUUAUAUGUUAUUUAAAUUUAAUUGAAUUUUAAUGAUUUAAUUUAAUAGAAUAUUUUAUUGGGGCGAUAGAGGUAUAAAUUAUAUUAACUGCUUUAAGUUGAAACAAUAAUGUUUGAAGAAGUAAUAAAUGAUCCUUUAGAUAAAGAAUAAAAGACUAAGUU